AAUUGAAAUUAUAUUUAUUAUAUUUUAUCUGGGACUAUUAUACUAAGUUAGUAUAAUAGUCCCAGAUUUUAUAAAUAUAUAUAUUAAAUAGUUGUAAGGGUUUAAUUAACUAACAGCUCCAUGUGGAGGUGCUCCUAUGUAAAGGAUGCUUAUUAACAAAAUAAUUUGUUAUAUGUUCCAAGGAUUUGUAUAGUAGGAAUGGGGGAACUAGCAGGUACCUAUUUUUCACUUUUCACAUGGAGAAAUACUUUGAACAUCAGAUCAGGACAAUAUCCGUGAAUCUCUCGUCCGGAGUCGGGUUUUUUUAAAACGCUUGAAAGAUACAGAUUAUGACGCGUCUUAAAGAGAAGAACGCCGUCAGCCGAUUAUCAACAACAGUACUUGUUUCAGUUAAUUUAACAAGACAAACAAUACCAAGGAGCUAUGAAUCAAUGAAUACUCGAGGAUGUACUACAGCAGUAUUACAAGGUAUGGGCAGAGGAGUUGACUAUUGAUAAUGACUGAUACUGGAAUUAAUGAAGUAACCUACAUGUAGUGUCCAAUCUCUAUGUGGAGUUUGCCUAUCAGACAGUCCAUUUUUACAUGUACCAAAAAAUAAUUAGCUCUCCAGAUGUAAGUGGAAGUGAAGUUAUACAUGUUAUAUGUUUCGAUGAAAUGAAUGACUUGAUUAGAUAUACAUGUAGUGGAGACCCUAUAGAUACAGUACAUGUAACUGGAACUGUAGGAAGUAUUCAAAGAGUCUGAUUGCUAAGUAUGCAUUACAGGAUUUUAUCAUUGGAGCAACAUCUUAGGAGGAGAAGUGCAAAUGUAUGAAGGAAUCCUUGGGUACAAAUAGCAAUUAUAUGCAGAAGAGGACUCUUAAACAUUAUUAACAGACAUGUAGUCAUAGUAGUGGUGUUUUCAAGAAACGUAAACCAACUGGAAUUAACAAUUGUGUAUAUUUUUUCAACCACAAGUACUUUCAGAAUAUAAUACAAUUCAAAUUCAAAUUAUUGUGUCAACAUACAAGUUACAGUAAAAAAAUGAAAAUG
This is a long non-coding RNA of Mytilus californianus (California mussel), 1031 nucleotides long. RefSeq lists it as uncharacterized. Lineage: Eukaryota; Metazoa; Mollusca; Bivalvia; Mytilida; Mytilidae. The transcript is spliced from 4 exons. The record is from RefSeq and is a predicted model, not a curated record.